UUGGAUUUAAGCCCCAAAUAUAAAGCCUUAACUUUUUUUAGAA
Molecule: transfer RNA, 43 nt
Filed under: Paraglenea fortunei
Lineage: Eukaryota; Metazoa; Arthropoda; Insecta; Coleoptera; Cerambycidae
Description: partial tRNA-Leu
Source: RNAcentral